UACGUAGGGUGCGAGCGUUGUCCGGAAUUAUUGGGCGUAAAGAGCUCGUAGGCGGUGUGUCGCGUCGGCCGUGAAAACCUGGGGCUCAACUCUGGGCGUGCGGUCGAUACGGGCAUCACUGGAGUUCGGCAGGGGAGACUGGAAUUCCUGGUGUAGCGGUGAAAUGCGCAGAUAUCGGGAGGAACACCGGUGGCGAAGGCGGUUCUCUGGGCCUUACCUGACGCUGAGGAGCGAAAGCGUGGGGAGCGAACAGG
Molecule: ribosomal RNA, 254 nt
Filed under: uncultured bacterium
Lineage: Bacteria
Description: partial 16S ribosomal RNA
Rfam family: Bacterial small subunit ribosomal RNA
Source: RNAcentral